RNAcentral lists this ribosomal RNA (366 nucleotides) under Triticum aestivum (bread wheat). RNAcentral's name for it is "partial small subunit ribosomal RNA". The record is from RNAcentral. Lineage: Eukaryota; Viridiplantae; Streptophyta; Magnoliopsida; Poales; Poaceae.
AUGGACGUAUCUACAUCUCCCACGACACCACUUGGACCAAUGACAAGAGCUCGAGCAAAGGCUAUCGAAGAUAAGGUGAACUCGCUCCUCUCUGAACUCCCACUUUCUACACAUGAGACAUGGCUACUACCUCAAACGGAAACACUAUGUGUGAUCAGGUACUUGGAGGAAGGCCACGGAGCAGCUACAUCCAAUGGUCAAGACGGCGAGGACACCGAGUACGAAGGACAAGAAGAAGAGCUACCGAAGAAGCUCCAGCGAGCGGACGUCAGCCCAGGACCGGACGUCCGGCGCCUGACGCUCCAGCCAGCGGACGUCCGACCAGGACCGGACGAAGGCCCAGCCGACCCAAGUCCCAGCCGAUGA